AUCCGCCAUUUGGAUCAUUGAAACGUCAUUAGCCCCAUCACCUAUGGCUAGUGUCAUAUCAUCUGUGCGGCUCUUUAUUAGGUCAACAAUUCCAGCCUUCUGCAAGGGAGCAACACGACAACAAAUCACAGCCCUACAUGAGGUUGCAAGGUCGAAUAGCUCGGUCUCGAGAUCUUUCUCUAAGAUGUAUACCAGACUAUUCCCAUCAAUUAUGAGUGCCAAAGGUCCAUCAGAAACUCCUUCCUCUCCUGCAUGCGGCUCUGGCAAAUUACUUGUCUGCAUACUAGCAGAAGCUUCGAGAUAACUAUUUUCUGCAUCACUCUGGCAUGUUGAGAUUUGAUUACAACAACUUGCAGAGUUUAUACCAUAUUUGAUUUUAGCAUCAAACAAUAACCUCUUGCAUUCGUUUUCUGAAGUGCCAUUAAUGAUGAUCCGCUGCAUGUCUGAGGUCAAGAGUUUGCAAGACAUACCAAUUGAAAUUGCAGUUUCUUGCUUAUCUCCAGUAAGAACCCAAACCUUCAUUCCUGCUUGACGCAGAGACUCAAUAGCUUCCGGUACGCCCUCUUGUAGUUUGUCCUCAAUUGCACUGGCCCCUAGUAGAGUUAAGUUGCAUUCUAUAAGAGAUGCUGUUUGGCGCAAUUUUGCUGAUCUGUCGGUCAAAGAGGUGCUAGCAUCCUCAUACAUGAAUUGCCACUCCUCCAGUUCUUCUCCCGUAAGAUCCCUUGCACCAACAACCAGGGUCCGCAAACCUUCAGAUGAGUACUCAUUCAAAUGGCUAAGAGUGACAUUUUGUAUGUCGUGGUGGCUUUUGUGGUCUUUCCUUAAAAUGCUAAACAUCGUAGUAUCAGCCCCUUUAACCAAAACUUUCACAGCACCACUUGGGAAUCUGAUGACCACAGACAUUCUUUUGCGUACACUAUCAAACUCAUGCAGUCCCAAGACAUCCAACCUUAGUUUCUCACCAUUGACAUCAAUCACAAUAUGACCAGAUGUCCGCUCACAAAGUGUAUAUCCAUAUGCAGAAGCAGCAGCAACUAGUGCUUGUUCAUCA
Molecule: unclassified non-coding RNA, 1051 nt
Filed under: Hevea brasiliensis (rubber tree)
Lineage: Eukaryota; Viridiplantae; Streptophyta; Magnoliopsida; Malpighiales; Euphorbiaceae
Source: RNAcentral